Transfer RNA from Felis catus (domestic cat), 86 nucleotides. It matches the Rfam family "tRNA". From Rfam's summary of the family: Transfer RNA (tRNA) molecules are approximately 80 nucleotides in length. Their secondary structure includes four short double-helical elements and three loops (D, anti-codon, and T loops). Further hydrogen bonds mediate the characteristic L-shaped molecular structure. tRNAs have two regions of fundamental functional importance: the anti-codon, which is responsible for specific mRNA codon recognition, and the 3' end, to which the tRNAs corresponding amino acid is attached (by aminoacyl-tRNA synthetases). tRNAs cope with the degeneracy of the genetic code in two manners: having more than one tRNA (with a specific anti-codon) for a particular amino acid; and 'wobble' base-pairing, i.e. permitting non-standard base-pairing at the 3rd anti-codon position. The record is from Rfam. Lineage: Eukaryota; Metazoa; Chordata; Mammalia; Carnivora; Felidae.
ACCUGGGUGGCUCAGUCGGUUGAGCGUCUGACUUCCACUCGGGUCAUGAUCUCACAACUCUGUGGGUUCGAGCCCCGCAUCAGGCU